UACAGAGGUCUCAAGCGUUGUUCGGAUUCAUUGGGCGUAAAGGGUGCGUAGGCGGCGCGGUAAGUCGGGUGUGAAAUCUCGGGGCUUAACUCCGAAACUGCAUUCGAUACUACCGUGCUUGAGGACUGGAGAGGAGACUGGAAUUUACGGUGUAGCGGUGAAAUGCGUAGAUAUCGUAAGGAAGACCAGUGGCGAAGGCGGGUCUCUGGACAGUUCCUGACGCUGAUGCACGAAGGCCAGGGGAGCAAACGGG
Molecule: ribosomal RNA, 253 nt
Filed under: uncultured bacterium
Lineage: Bacteria
Description: partial 16S ribosomal RNA
Rfam family: Bacterial small subunit ribosomal RNA
Source: RNAcentral